GUGGCGGCCAAAGCCCUGGAGAUGGGCGUGUUUGGCGCAUAUUUCAACGUGCUCAUCAACCUGAGGGACAUCACAGACGAGGCAUUUAAGGACCAGCCUCCUGCAGGAAGCCAAGACCCAGGCUGCACUGGUGCUGGACUGCUUGGAGACCCGGCAGGAGUGACGAAACCCCAGGGACAGCAGGACCUUCGACGCUGGAAGGAUAGCCUCGCUUCCCAGGUGCAGCUCUCAGCAGGUCCGGACAGUUCCACAGAGCACGGUACUGGCCCCGUCCUCAGUUCCCGUCCACCCUUCAACCAGUGGCUCCUGGGAGACUUUUCCUCCCUGCCCAGCCAGCCUCCUGUCUCCAGAGAAGUUCUCCAUUAAAAAAUAAUUUAACAAAUCA
Molecule: small RNA, 385 nt
Filed under: Pan troglodytes (chimpanzee)
Lineage: Eukaryota; Metazoa; Chordata; Mammalia; Primates; Hominidae
Description: processed transcript
Source: RNAcentral